RNAcentral lists this small RNA (905 nucleotides) under Vigna angularis var. angularis. RNAcentral's name for it is "Non-protein coding transcript". The record is from RNAcentral. Lineage: Eukaryota; Viridiplantae; Streptophyta; Magnoliopsida; Fabales; Fabaceae.
UGAUGAUCGAGAUAGAGAAAGAAAUUCGGGACGAUGAGUCAUGAUUAAACGUGUACUUUGAGGCACGGUGCUUGCUUUUUCCUUCACGUUGAAAAGCAAUAGGGUGAACUGGGACCGGAAGCCGGGACGACUGGGUGGACCAUUGUGGGAACCCUUUGCCAUCUCCUCAGCAUUCUCCGCCGAAUCGCACUGAAACAAUGUUGUUGUUUUUGUUUUUGUUGUUUUUUGUUAUGUGAAUGUGUUGGGUUUGGUUCAGUGGAGUAUUGGUCGAGAUUGGAGGCAGAAGUCGAGGUUGUUUAUGAGAGGGACGUGACAGUCGUCGAAACGGUUGGAGGGAGGGGAAUGGGAGCGUGAAAUGAAGCGGAGGAGCUGUUCGAAGAGUGUUUCGUCGCAGGGAAUGGUGAGAGGACCGUGGUUGGAGAACCCGUACUCUUCCUCCGCCUCUACAAGUAGCUUCGUGAACACGGGGUGGUUCAGGUAGGUGGCGCGCACCACGAAUCUCCUGGAGUUACUGCCCACGCACACCGCCACGUGUCCCGCCGGAACAUCGGAGGGUACUUGUCGGUGGGCCGACAUGCGGGCCUUGCUACGCCAGCGCCGCAGCAUUUGGCGGAGCCUGACUAUGUGCCGGAUUCUGGUACAUUUUGCAAGUCCCCCUUCUGACAUUGAGAUUGCCAUUUUCCCUCUCCACUGUUUUGUUUGGAGUGUGUGAGAAAAGGAAAAGGAAAAUUGGGAGUGGGAGUGGGGGGAUUGGAAAAGAGGGUGGUGGUGCUCUUUUAUAAUAGCCUGCUGACACUGUGCCCUUCCUCUUCCUAAUAAUUACCAAACAACUGUCUCCUCUUUUUGCACCAAAAGAAGACUUACGUUUGAGGAAGAAACUCACCUAUGACACAUGUAAAAUUGAG